ACUUCUUUAAUGAUCUGCAAGAACUCAUAACCAUCUGUUUAGAAGGAAAGAUAAAGCAGAUAAGGACAGUGGUUCUCAACUCCAGUCCUCAAAUAUCACCAACAUGCCAUGUGUUCUGGAUGUCUUUAAUCAUGCCCAGGGUCCUAAAUUGGGAGCGAAUGUGUGCUAGCACUUCCAGGUGCGUCUGUUUGCUGCUGAGGACCUGUAUGAGCCUGACUCCCCCUAGUGA
Long non-coding RNA from Pseudophryne corroboree (corroboree frog), 229 nucleotides. RefSeq lists it as uncharacterized. The record is from RefSeq and is a predicted model, not a curated record. NCBI's taxonomy places the organism in Eukaryota, Metazoa, Chordata, Amphibia, Anura, Myobatrachidae. The transcript has 3 exons.